UCCCUUAUAGCUCAGUUGGUAAAGAAUCUGCCUGCAAUGCAGGAGACCCAGGUUCGAUCCCUGAGUUGGGAA
RNAcentral lists this transfer RNA (72 nucleotides) under Ovis aries (sheep). It matches the Rfam family "tRNA". Rfam says of the family: Transfer RNA (tRNA) molecules are approximately 80 nucleotides in length. Their secondary structure includes four short double-helical elements and three loops (D, anti-codon, and T loops). Lineage: Eukaryota; Metazoa; Chordata; Mammalia; Artiodactyla; Bovidae. The record is from Rfam by way of RNAcentral.